GAGGAACGCUGGCGGCGUGCCUAAUACAUGCAAGUAGAACGCUGAAGAGAGGAGCUUGCUCUUCUUGGAUGAGUUGCGAACGGGUGAGUAACGCGUAGGUAACCUGCCUUGUAGCGGGGGAUAACUAUUGGAAACGAUAGCUAAUACCGCAUAACAAUGGAUGACACAUGUCAUUUAUUUGAAAGGGGCAAUUGCUCCACUACAAGAUGGACCUGCGUUGUAUUAGCUAGUAGGUGAGGUAAUGGCUCACCUAGGCGACGAUACAUAGCCGACCUGAGAGGGUGAUCGGCCACACUGGGACUGAGACACGGCCCAGACUCCUACGGGAGGCAGCAGUAGGGAAUCUUCGGCAAUGGGGGCAACCCUGACCGAGCAACGCCGCGUGAGUGAAGAAGGUUUUCGGAUCGUAAAGCUCUGUUGUAAGUCAAGAACGGGUGUGAGAGUGGAAAGUUCACACUGUGACGGUAGCUUACCAGAAAGGGACGGCUAACUACGUG
This 497-nucleotide ribosomal RNA is filed under the name uncultured bacterium. Its description in RNAcentral is "partial 16S ribosomal RNA". It matches the Rfam family "Bacterial small subunit ribosomal RNA", at positions 28 to 507 of the family's 1533-position model. The record is from RNAcentral.